UCUCAGCGGGGGAGCAACUGGAAACCACAAACACCCAAACUGGGUAGCAGCCACUCGAACUAAACCAGGAGACCUGGCUUAGGGAAAGGAGUUAAGUUUAGACGGAAUGGAUUAAUCAAGAUAUCAGAAGAGACCUAUUAAAAGACAGAAAAAGGUGAAACCAGAAGGUGUCUUCCCAUCUCUAUUUAAAGAAGUCAUGUGCUAGGCUGCAGAGAAAUGCCUGUGUAUGCAGUGAGUCUUCAAAUUUAUAAGUAUAUCAAGAGGCCUCCAAUAUCAUGCAUCUAAUUACAAUGGUAAACUUCCCAGUAAAUAUACACAUUCACCAGUGCCAUGCCAAACAUCUCUUCCUUCCACAAGUAGCAGGUGUACCAUCUUGCUCAGACCUUGGGCACUGAUGAUCAGGUGUUGUUGGCUACUUCAUUCAGUGAGGAGCUUCUUACCUUCCCAACUAAGCUGCUAGUUUUUUGAAGAAAGGCUCUGGUCGUCUUAUAGAUCCUUGUAGUCCUCUGAGUGGUCUGAAGACUGAGCUACUUGAGCUGCAAUUCUGGCUCUACCAUUUGCUGGCUAUUUGAUCUUAGCAAGUUACUGGAUGCUCUGGAGCCUGUUACCUCAUCUGCCAAAGAGAAACAAUAACAAGAUGUGCCUCCACAGAGUUGUCAAGAGCACUAAAUGAGGCACUCAGCAUGUGGCACACAGGUACAUACACAGAGCCUUGGCACAUGAUUAAACUCUCCAACAAUG
Suricata suricatta (meerkat) is the source of this 741-nucleotide long non-coding RNA. RefSeq lists it as uncharacterized. The record is from RefSeq and is a predicted model, not a curated record. NCBI's taxonomy places the organism in Eukaryota, Metazoa, Chordata, Mammalia, Carnivora, Herpestidae. The transcript is spliced from 5 exons.